This 250-nucleotide unclassified non-coding RNA is filed under the name Glomus sp. Its description in RNAcentral is "partial internal transcribed spacer 2". Lineage: Eukaryota; Fungi; Glomeromycota; Glomeromycetes; Glomerales; Glomeraceae. The record is from RNAcentral.
GUGAAUCAUCAAAUUUUUGAACGCAAAUUGCACUCUCCUCUUAGAGUACGCCUAUUUGAGUUCCAGCCUAUAAAAAAUCCACAACGUUGCUGUUUCGCGGUGGCGUUCGUCGAAAAUUGGGUCAUCUUAAAUCUUUUGGUUUUAAGCUACUUCAAAUUUUCUUUUUGGAUCCAUGAACGUUUCUAAGAUUUAUGUCUUUACACGUUUAAGGUAUCGAUUUUUAUUAGUCGUGACCAUCAAAGCAGGUCGC